RNAcentral lists this ribosomal RNA (120 nucleotides) under Thermochaetoides thermophila DSM 1495. Lineage: Eukaryota; Fungi; Ascomycota; Sordariomycetes; Sordariales; Chaetomiaceae. The record is from RNAcentral.
ACAUAUGACCAUACCCACAGGAAAACACGGCAUCACAUCCGCUCUGUCAAAGUUAGGCCAGUGAAGGCCAGGUCAGUACUCAGGUCGGUGACGACCGAGGUAUCCAUAGUAUUGCGUGCU